Molecule: ribosomal RNA, 491 nt
Filed under: uncultured bacterium
Lineage: Bacteria
Description: partial 16S ribosomal RNA
Rfam family: Bacterial small subunit ribosomal RNA
Source: RNAcentral
AGUGAACGCUGGCGGUAGGCCUAACACAUGCAAGUCGAACGGCAGCACAGUAAGAGCUUGCUCUUACGGGUGGCGAGUGGCGGACGGGUGAGGAAUACAUCGGAAUCUACUUUUUCGUGGGGGAUAACGUAGGGAAACUUACGCUAAUACCGCAUACGACCUACGGGUGAAAGCAGGGGAUCUUCGGACCUUGCGCGAUUGAAUGAGCCGAUGUCGGAUUAGCUAGUUGGCGGGGUAAAGGCCCACCAAGGCGACGAUCCGUAACUGGUCUGAGAGGAUGAUCAGCCACACUGGAACUGAGACACGGUCCAGGCUCCUACGGGAGGCAGCAGUGGGGAAUAUUGGACAAUGGGCGCAAGCCUGAUCCAGCCAUACCGCGUGGGUGAAGAAGGCCUUCGGGUUGUAAAGCCCUUUUGUUGGGAAAGAAAAGCAGCAGGUUAAUACCCCGCUGUUCUGACGGUACCCAAAGAAUAAGCACCGGCUAACUUCGU